AUUUAGAGUCUGCAUAUCGAAUGUAUAAGGUACAGCUGGACACAGCACAAUAUUUUCUAUGAAAUGCAAAAGGAGCUAUUAUCCAAUAAGAAAUACAUCUGGCUUUGGUGUAGCAGAGCUUUCCCAAAGGCAAAGAAUCGCUGUGAUAGUUAAACCUGAGACCAGAGGAUGGACGGGAUUCCUGCUGGAGCAUUAGAGCUUGCAUGAGGAGCGGGAUCUUGGUUGCCCUAGAACCAUUUUAUGGAGGAAAAAAUCACCUGUGACUACUACUGCAGGCAUUUGAAUGGAUCACGCCUUUCAGUGGAGAUGAGACAUCUCUCUUGUUUAUGUGAGGAUCCUCCUUCUUAUCCCAAAAGGAGAAGAGAGGGGACAAAAAGGAAGGAGAGACCUUCUCCCCUGUUGCACACAGCAGGGCCAUGGGAUGCCGCUGGAUGCUGGUGAUUCCAUUUAUGCCAUCUGGCACAGUGCCCCACAUUACCCUCAGAAUGGUUGAAGAAUGGACAUCAGCAGAAGUCAGAGGAAAGCAGAAGAGUCCUUGACCAUUACCCCAUGAAAAGUUGUAUUCCUUAAG
RNAcentral lists this long non-coding RNA (571 nucleotides) under Gallus gallus (chicken). The record is from RNAcentral. Lineage: Eukaryota; Metazoa; Chordata; Aves; Galliformes; Phasianidae.